Molecule: long non-coding RNA, 402 nt
Filed under: Mus spicilegus (steppe mouse)
Lineage: Eukaryota; Metazoa; Chordata; Mammalia; Rodentia; Muridae
Description: lncRNA (ENSMSIG00000029385.1)
Source: RNAcentral
GCUGAUUUUAGAAGAUUGCAUCUAGAAACAAGGAUUAUAUGUGCAUGAGAGAUGCCUAAAAGAAGGAAGAUAUUUGAAGAGGAAACAGCUGCAGAGGCUAUAGGUUUAUCACACAAGAGCUGGUAUACUCAAAGGAGCAGUGUAUCAAGAGGGCAUUUUACAAAGGGUCAUGUUGUAACCAAAGACAAUCUGCAUCUCUAUGCCUGAAGACAAAGGGAGGAGGGUGUCUGGGAGCUGGUAUAUAGUAUCCUGAGAGUCCUGGAUUACAUGGCAGAGAACCCUGUCUCCUUGGAAUCCCGCCUUGUCCUAGAGCUAAAGGAGCACGCCGCAGUUAUUCACAGGGAUGCUUUUCCCUUGGGAGAUCCUGUUCCAGUUCACCUUAAUUCAUUAUUGAUUCAUGGU